CGACGGGAGUGCGCAACCCUCAAUUGUGUUCUGUCAAUUGUUGAAACUGGAGAACAAAGGAAUCGAGUGUGGUAGCGUGAGGACGCAGAAAAAAAUAGGAGCAGUGAUGGUCCAUCAACCGCUGAUUGGUUAAUUAAUUAAGUAAAUCAAUGUAGCAAAGUCAAUUUUUGCAAGGCCCGUCUUACAAUUCGAUAACAUCCCUUCGACUUCACCUGAAGUACCAUACUGCCAACUGAGUCUGUAUUGGGUUCGAUGAGAGUAAGAGACCGAAAAUAUAGUUUGUAUUGGUUUAUUUGAAUAUUGUCAUACGUUGCGUAUCUCUUAACUACUAACUUCGUCUCGAGGGGCUGAAGACCCAAUCGACAGUUUGUCAAUUCUAAACGGGGAGUGGGAACCGCCCGAGAGGGUAAUGACAUCUAACAGUAUCCACCUUUCAAAUUCUGCCAAAUCUGUAAUAAUCGUUGUGCUACUGUGCUACUAUCAACGCUCUUCUACAAGACAGUGGGUAGCCAAUAUUCGAUGUGCUACUGUGCUACUAUCAACGCUCUUCUACAAGACAGUGGGUAGCCAAUAUUCGAUAACAUCUUUUCGAUUCGCCUGAACCAUCAUACUGUCAACUGAGCCUUUAUUGUUACCAUCUCUGCUGCUUCAGCUGAUAUUGUUUUGGGUAUCCAUCCUUGAAAUUUUGCCAAAUCUGUAAGAGCAUGAGACUCUUAAUCUCAGGGUCGUGGGUUCGUGUCGUUGGGCGCCAAAAAUAUAUAACGCUUUUUUUGUUUUGUUAUCAUCUACCUUUUUGGUUUUGGCUUAUUUUUUUGGCUUAGAGUGAUUCCAGCUCCAGCCUACUAGAUUAAGGGGCUCCACAACCUUAAUUUUUGGGAAGAUGUCACGCGGGGAGACGAUAAUACAUCGACAUUUGAGACAUUUUUUUAUAUAGCUGACAUUUGAGAAUGUCAACUGUUAUUUAAGCAAAAAAAAACACACUAACUUGUAAUAUACUUUCCUGAAAAGUUAUGGGAUAAUAACUAAAAUUUAAUAUUUUUUGGAAAGUAUGUUUGAAUGUGGAAGUAUUUUGUUUGGCAGUAACAUAAAAAAGAUUUUUUAAGAACCCAUUCAUUUAUACUCAAUCUAAUUUUUCCAAAGUGGGCGUAGAACAGAAGGUUUUGUAAAAUCAUUGAAUUUUUUUAACAAAAAUUAACUAAAAAGAAAUACUAAUAAAGUGUAUGACUACUUGAUGACAUUACACAUGCUCUCAUUUGUGGAGACAUACUCUGAACUAAAGUAGCAAUUUGUUAUUUGUGUUCUGAAAGCCGAAUUUCUUGCAAUCUACAAAAAAAACCUUUUGUAAAGUCCUCCGAGGAAUUUCAUGGGCUCUAAUUUGUACCUAUUUUAUUUAUUUAUUUAUUUUGAGAUUAGGACUUUUAACUUGUACGUUGCCACACUAUAGCUUUAGUCCCUGCUGCCAUAAGCUCUCCUGUCACAUUAUUUGGAACAUUUGGUCGAGUGUUUUUUGCUUUGUUCUACUACGGGAACUGCCAUUGUUCCUAUAGCAUAGCCAAGCUCUACUAACUACUGGAUUGUAGCACAUCCAAUCUUUGACCAGCUUCUUCUUAAGAUAAUCCUUCAACAAGAGUCACUAUUUGGCGACUUUCGUGUCUGAUGGUUUCUACAUAUUCAUUCAUGACGCACAUUUUUUGCAAUUCGAUUUCGUGGUUUCUAUUUGAUAAAUUUGAAAAAUAGAAUUGACACCUGUAUGAUUUUUUUGUGUUAGUCUUUAUUCAGCUUAUUUACCAAGAAGUAAAAGCUUCGCGAACUGCUACGUUCAGUAAUUUUAAUUCAUUUUUAAUCAGUGACUUUGCAUUCAGAAGUUCAAAUUUUGACCCCCUUUUGUUAUCAAACUAGCGGGUGUUAAUAACUAAUUUAUGCCAAGAUUAUAAUAUUGAAUUAUCUCUUAAUUUCGAUGUGUAUAUGUCGUAGGCAUUCAAUUCAAUUAGGCAUUCAAUUCAAUAAUAUCUACUGUACAAUUUACACUAAAAUUAUCGGAAAAUUUUACAUAAAUAUAUUGUAAAAUAGUACAUAACAUACAUAACACUUACCAGUGUACUAAAACCUCACAGUUUUUUUUUGUUCUUUUUUUUUUUAUUAUAUAUGUCUUAUAUCUCAUACUACUCAGGUAACAUUUCUUAUUUUUUGACGAUGUUUAGGAAUAUUUUCCACACAAAGAAAUUUCAAAUAUCAAAUUACUUUAAUUAAAUAUAAAACGUAACAUUACAAUUUUCGUAAAAAACUUUUAUGUGUUUAACAAAACAAUAUAGGAAAACGCGAGGCGAUGGAUGUCAUUUACAUUGAGUUGUAUCGAAUUUGAUCUAAAAAUUGUUUUUUAAAGUUUGUUCACAUACCAUAGGUGACUCCUAUUCGCCCAUGGUCUCCAAAAAAAUCAUAAUUAGUAGCUCGUAUAUUUUAACAAUUUGUUCAUGAGUGUGAUGACCUUUUUCUUAUUUGCAGCUACUUUAUUUCUAGAUUUAAUUGUACUUGUUAGGUGCAUCUUCAAAUAAUUUCUCUGAUAAAAUUCCAGCGUGAAUGAAUUUUUUUGGAUAUUUUAAAUUAAAAUUAAAUUACAGUGCAAAUGCAAUUAUAAAUGCGUCUGCAAACGUCCUAUUUUCUUCGUCCAUUAUGUGGAUUUCCACUAGAACGUAAAAUUUUGUAUCAUCUCAAAAUUGUUAAUAAGUAAUAUGGUAACAAAGUAAAUGCUAAAUCAAUUACCAGUUUUUAACUUUACGAUGCUUGGGGCUGGAGUUUGAUCUGGAAUAUUUGUCAAAUCCUAAGAAAAACAACAUAAAAUAUGUAUUCCUAGACAGUACUUACAUCCGUUUCUGUAAAAAUUAUAUUUAGGUCUUCUUUAAAGUAUUUUGAAACAACAUCGAGCAUUAUCCAGCAAUGAUCGUCUUCACCCUGAUCGGAAUUUUCAAUGACUUUGCUAAAUGUAGUAUUUUGUUAUUUUUUUCUUGUAUCAAAGCAUUCAUCACAUCAACAUUAAUAUUUUGUGUAAGUUUUUUGAAAUGCCAUAAAAUACCAGCCUUUUUGAGCAAGAUAGGUCAUUUUGAUUUUAUGCCUUCCAUGGUUCUUGAUUCGUCGUUUAGAAAUUGCCUUUGUUGAGAAUAUGUACUUUCUAAUUCUUAUAAAUAGUUUUCAUCACCCUCUUCAAUAAUAGUGUUUGGAAUAUUAUUGUUCUUCACAGCUGGAGGAUUCCAGUUUCAGUGAUGAUUUGUCUUUUUUUGUGUGGUGUAUUUAAGUAAUUCAAAAGGAGGUCCAGGAUUAUAAGGCCGUAGCCUACUAGGAAGCUUUCCAGGAAGAAGUCCAGCAAAUGGCGGAAAUGCUGGAAUUUGGCAAACUUUAUUCAGAAAAAAAAGGAAAAGCAACAAAAAAAUCUUCACUAAACUAAAUGCCUGAUAUAUACCACUCACUGAGAUAUUGACAGAAUUUAAUUUUGCGUUCAAUUUUUUACAUAAUUUGGUUGUAAUGAAAGUACUUUGUGAACCCACAUCAAACACUGCUCGACAUGUCUGAUAGUGAUUAUUGUUAUCGACGAUAUCUAUUAAGGCAAAUUUUUAGGUGUACUGGUUGCUAAAUUUUCUGGGAUAUAAUUUUCUGUUCCAUUAUGUAAUAAAGAAUUAUGUUUGCAUUUUCUGAAAAAACAUCUAUCGUUCGUGUGGCUGAAGCGUAGGCAAUUUUUGCACAACUGGUGAGGUUUGACCAAUUCAAGACGUUUCAAAAUGUCAAGUGCUAAAAAUUCCCCACAUUUAAAUAAUUUAUGUUGAUUUUUACGCAAUAAACAAGAAUUAUGGUUUACACGCUGUUCUAUGCGUAUGUUAGCUGAAAAUCGUGGAUUUGAAUUUUUAUUAAAACUAUGUUUUUUUUUAUAAUAAAAAUUUCAUAUUAAUUUAUUAUUAUGAUAAUGAGAUGCAUUUAUCGCUAAUGAUUCUAACAUUUGGCAUCUCGUGGGUAAGAAACUUUUUUUGAAUUUCAAUAUGUAUAUCUUCAAAUUCCUGUAAUAUCGACUCGAUUGACCUUUUUCGAUUAUUAAUUUCGUCGAAUUUGUUUUCAUUAUUAAUUAAUAGUUAAUAGUUUUAAAUUUAGUUUUAAUUAAUAGUUUUUAAAUCUAAGUUAUUUAUUAUGUGUAUAUAUUUAAUAUAACUAUCGUAAAGAGGUUUCCAAUCUUUGAAGUUUAAGAUUCUCCAAGUUUCGUCAGAUAAUUUUAUCGUUUCUUCUGGGUGUAGAUAUAGUCCAUUGAAAGACUUAUGGGACGAUUUCUAAUGAUAUUGUUACUUUGAUCCAUAUGGACUUGGAACAGAUUGAUCUUCUUUAGUAUUUCUUCCAUAAUGUUUAAUGUUUGGACUCCGGGAUGACAUAAAUUUAAAGUUGGUAGGAUAGAAGUAUCACUUGGAAAAAAAUCCUAAAUUCGUUAGGGUGUUUUUGAAUUCCGAACAAAAUUUUUUAACAGUCGAAGGCACUAUCAAAGAGUUUAGUCUUUUUGUUAAAAUAAACAAAAGUGCUGUUUGGGAAGGGAGCGAAAUAAAAAAAAUAAAAUUUGCGAAACUUUAGGAAAAUAAAAAAAUUCGUUAAUGUUUCUAGGGGUGUUUGUCCGAACAUACAUUUUUUACAGUUGAAGGCCCUAUUAGAGGGCUUGAUCUACUGCAAAAAUAAAGAAAAGCGCUGUUCGGGAAAGGAGUGAAAAGAAUUUAGGUUUGCAAAUUAGAGAAUAUCUAGAAAAAUUUUAAAAAUUUGUUGAGGUUCCUAGGAGUUUUUGUCCGAACAUGAAUUUUUCACAGUCGAAGGCCCUAUUAGAGGGCUUUAUUUUUUGCAAAAAUAAACAAAAGUGCUGUUUGUGAAGGGUUAAAAAAAAAGUUUGCAAACUAGAGGAACUUUAGGAAAAUUAAAAAAAUGUGUUAAGGACUCUAAGGGUGUUUGUUCGAACAUAAUUUUUUUAUAAAUUAGAUUAACUCUCGUAAACUUUUAAAAAUUCGUUAUGGUCCCUAGGGGUGUUUAUUCAAACGUGUGUUUUUUGCAGUCGAAGGUCCUUUUAGAGAGCUUGAUUCCCUGCGAGAAAUAACAAAAGUGCCAUUUGGGGUGGGGAUGAAAAAAAUAAUAAUAAUAAAAAUAAAUAAUAAAAAAAAUGCAGAAAAAUUGUCAAGGUUCCUAGGGGUGUUUGUCCAAACAUGAAUUGUUUACAGUCGAAGGCCCUAUUGGAGGGCUUGAUCUCCUGUAACAAUAAACAAAAUCGCUGCUUGGGAUGGGGAUGAAACAAAUAAAGUUUGCAAAUUAGAGAAACUUGAGAAAAUUAAAAAAAUUCGUUAAGGUUCCUAGGUGUGUUUGUCCGAACAAUUUUUUACAGUCGAAGGCCCUAUUGGAUAGCCUAAUCUCCUGCAAAAAUAUACAAAUCUGCUGUUUGGGAAGGAGGUGAAAAAAAUUUAGUUUGAAUUGUCUGAAUGUGAGAAUAAAAAAUGCAGAAAUUAAAUGCACUUUUAAGUUUUAAUUUGUAAUAGAAACACAUUAGAAUGGUUGGGAGAUGUUCUACAAUUGUGAUAUGCAUAUCAUCGUGACAGCUUACUGAUGUUUUUAUAAAUAAUGAUUUAAGAGUAUUCUGACAAUUUUCUUUGUGUGAACUUGGUUGUAGAAAACGAGAAUGGGGAGAGGAAAUGGUGGUAGCUCCUUGCGCGCAGCGAUUAUCUGGUCGACUGUAAUAUUCAUCGUGCCAGCUCCAUUUUUGGUGCUAUCUUGGGUGCUAAUUACAGAGUGGCACCGACAUUGAAUUUUUACAUGGUUUCAUACUUUCGAAACCCCAUUCUUAGAUUUAUUUUUAUUUUUAAACAGACUUUUUAAAAGAAAAUUGGAACGCUUUUAUUUUUAUUUCUUAGGUUGGCAAGGUCAAUACCAAUGACGUUAGCCCUAAUCAUCCUUUUUGUGUUUUGUGAUUUUAGCGUAGCGUUUUGACCUUGUUGCAAGAUUGUAAAGUUUUUUCGCACUUGUAUCUAGUGCUCGUGACUGUUAUUUUUUGUGUUUGGUGCUGUAUUAUUAACUUGUGACCGUGGUAUUUCAAAGUAGUGAAGGAGUGACAAUGCUCCCCCAAAAACGGAUCUUUCUCAAUUCCCGAAAAGGACGAGGUAAUAGCUCAAUGGUCGCCUUACACUCAAAAAACGCUGCGGGGUCGCUAAUAAGGUUGUAGAAAGACAGAAAAUGAGAAUGGAGGAAUUGCUCUACGUCCUGCUGUCGACGCCACCUUUCAAGAAAUGUUAGAUUUGGGGGUGAUAAAACGUGAGGCUUUACCUUACGCAAGUUCAAUGACGAUUAUGAAAAAGAAAGAUGGAACCGUGAGAAUUUGUCUUGAUGACCGAAUGAUCAACUUCAAAAUGAUAGCCGAUUGUCCACCAUCGAUUUGAGAUCUUCGUACUGGCAAAUCCUACUUUCGCCAGAAAAUAGACAGUACACCGCUUUUCUGUACAAAAGUCGCAGUUACACAUACCAAGUCCUACCCGAUACAGUGCAGCCACUCAAGACCUAAACAAACUACUGAAAAAGGGUGAAAAAUGGAGAUGGGGACAAAAUGAACAAGAAGCUUUCGAUCGUGUAAAAGAUUUGGUUUUCGAAGCAGUAUUGCUACGUUAACCGGACCCGAAUAAAAUAUUCUAUGUCCAAACUGACUAUUCAGGAUUGGGGGCAGAAUUGUAUCAAAUUCGGGAAGACGGUUCGCGAGGUGUGAUCGCUUUUGCAAGUCGUUCUUUGAAAUUACCUGAACUAAACUACACAACUACGAAAAAGGAAUUUCUCGGAGCCGAUCACCAAGCCUUGAAAUUCCUGAGCCGUUGUCGAUUGCUCAGAGAACGCCUAACCCGAUGGACUUUGAUUCUAGGACAGUACGACUACGAAAUCGAGUUGGUAAAAGGAAAGGAAAAUGUAGUUGCCGACAACCUAUCGCGAUACCCGUCCCACGAUAUAGCCAGUUAUGAAUAUCCACAUGAACAUCCAAUAGCAGCAAUAUUUGAAGUUGACAACACACCUGAAAUUCCGCAACUAAUGUCCGAUCUUAAACAACAUCAGUCAGAUGAUCCGGUUUUGAGCCAAAUAAUCGCCAACAAACAAUCCGGUGUAGUCGCCCCAGAUGCACGAAAUCAACGGGUUUGGUCACAAUAUAAUUUCACAAAUAAUGUGUUAGUUCACAGAUCUCAAUAUUCUAACGACGCCGGCCUUGCCAUACCUGAGAGUUUGGUAAUUAUGCUCGUGGAUUACCAUCACCAACUCCUGGGCCAUUUCGGUGCAACCAAAGUGUACAAUUCGAUGAAGUGCGAGUAAUACUGGCCAAACAUGUACCGUACAAUAAAGAAACGGUUACGAAGUUGUGAUCUUUUUCAAAAAAUAAAAAGUUCCAACCAUCCACAUCAGGGCCCAUUAACACCAAUUUUGUAUGACCACAUCGGGGACCUAGUUUGCGUUGACUUCUAUGGGCUUUUACCAACCGGCCGAAUGGGGGCGUCCUAUGUAUUUAUGGUCAUUGACGUCUUUAGCAAAUUUCUCAAACUAUCCAUUGAGAAAAGCCACCGGCAAAAUAGCUGCAAAACGACUUACAGAGGAAUUCGCUGAGUACAUUAAACCCAAAUGUGUGUUAAGCGACCACGGGACAACUUAUUUCUAACACUUGGCAGAAUAGUUUGCGAGCUGUCCACAUAAAACCAACAUUUUCGUCCAUUCGUCACCCUGAAUCUAACCCCAGCGAGCGUGCAAUGCGGGAGCUGGGUAGAAUUUUCCGAGCAUAUUGUCGAGAAAAUCACGCCAGUUGGGUCAAUUAUUUGAGUAACAUCGGAGAUUGCUUGAACUUCGUUCCACACAUCAGUACCGGGUUUUCUCCAUAUAAAACCCUGUAUAGCAGGAAACCGCCAAAUCCAUUAGAUACAGUCAUAUCGGGUUUACUGCCAGUACAUCUGCCGCUAACGAAAGAAGAAAUUCACGAAAAGGCUUGUAAAAACUUGAGACACCCGCAAGCUUACGUCAGCAAAAUCAAAGGGUGAAAUUACCAUAUUAGAAAUUGACGAUUGGGUUCUCCUGAAGAACAAAGUAACUUCCGAUACAAGAACGCCAAGUUCAUGCCAUUGUACAGUGGUCCGUACAAAAUAAUUGCCAAACCUCAUCCGAACACGUACCAAUCGCCGAUCCAGUGACGAAUGUAAUCAAAGGGGUGUACAACAUGAAUCUAUUCAUCAGCGUAAAUUAUUAGAAGUCAUGUUAAGAAUUUGAGCUUCCUUACAACACCGUUUAAUUUCAACAAAUUUAAUUCAACUUAUUUAGCAUUAAAAAAACAUGUUAUCAUUAAAAUGUUCAGAAAUUAUCGUUCCCAAGGAAAUUUUCCAAGAACCGUAAAAUUGUUACAAAUCACCAGAUUGGGUGGUCAAAAAGCCAUGUGUUUAAAAAGUGGGUAUGCAAAGAUAAGGGAGUUGGCGACGGCCUGACGGUGCAGUCCAGGCGUUCAACUAAUUUAAUAGUUUUCUCACAAAAUAAUAAUUAAUUUAGGUUUGUUCAAAUAGUAAAAAUUUAGUGAUAAAACGGUAAAGAAAUCCAAGGCAGUAGAUAACGAAUGGGGGGACAACACAACACAACCUUGACCUUGAGUUUGACCCCGCCCAUUUUCCCUCUCUUUCUUUCAAGGCCACUCGUUCUCUCUCUUACUUUUCAAGGCCAACCCCUCCCACUUCCACCACUUCAAGGCCAAGGCAUUAUUGGACCUUGAUGUUUUCAAGGUCAAGGUUAUUCAUGCUACUCCCCACUUUUUCAAGGCCAACAACUUCCCUCUUUACUUAUCAUUCAAGGUCACUGCAGCUAAUAUAUAUAGAAUUCAAUACAAAUUCAAAAACAGUAUCUAAUAAGUAUUUCUCAAUAUUAAAGUAGUAAAAAAUGUGGUAUCGUUUUACUUGUGAAGGUGUCAUAAUAGUGGAAGAAACGUGUUUCCACAACCAGUUAGGACACAUAUCUUUGGAAGGUGGUUGGGAACGUUUCUUUAAUAGAGUGGUUGUGUGUGAACAGUGCAGCACUAAGGACAUUUCAAUUAUUAAUCCAGAUGGGUGGAAUAAUUCUUUAAGUAUUGAUAUUACGUGUAAUGAAGAAGAAUUUAGAGUUACUUAGAAAAUAUGGUUUCCUUUGUCAUAAGUGUAAAACUCCGUGUUACACAGCUAGCCAAGUGGAUCCGGAAAAUGCCCAAAAAAUUAUAGCUAUAUACCACUAACUUAAAUCAGCAUAAUGGAAGUUGACAAUGAUCCUUACUGCUACAUGCUCUUUUGCCUAUCUCCAAAGGACUGUGGUAACAGAAAAUUCUUUUGUUUGAGAUGUGUGAAGCUUAUGGCAGUGAGAUUUCACAUUUGUCAUCUACAUGUGACUUCAGUGUUAAACUACAAGUGUUUUUGGUGUAAUACAGUAAUAGGACAGAAUUCUCAGUUGUGUGGAAAUAAUUUAAUAAACAGAAUGACUGUUAAAAUGUGGUAUUUUAGUAGAGAGCGACAAAUGAUGUUUUAUGAUUCUGAUGACUAUGAUUCUGACGACUCAUCAAGUAGCUGUGAUAGUGGUAUAGAAUGUUAGUUAAUAAGAGUAGAAAUUAGAUAUAAACAACUUGUAACCUUAGAUUAAAUUAGUAUCUAGAUUAUUCUUUUGCUGUAUGGAUAAAAGUAAAUAAAUGAAGUUAUAUAAUAAACAGACUUGUGAUUCUCAACAUAGUAUUGAUUCAACUCUGACAAAGAGAGGUUGGGGUCUAAUAAAUAAAUUAAUAAAUAAAUUACCCAUUGAAUUACAUAUACCGGGUUAUCAGUUUUGUGGUCCUGGAACCAAAUUACAAAAACGAAUUGCACUUGGACAUAGUGGUAGAAAUAAAUUAGAUCAGGCUUGUAAAGAACACGAUAUAUCGUACGCCAACGAAACUAAUUUGCAAAAACGACACGAAGCAGAUAAGUUAUUAUUAAGUAAAGCAGUUGAACGUUUAAAAGCAAAAGACGCAUCGUUUGGGGAAAAAGCAGCUGCAUUAGCAAUUGCUGGUAUAAUGAAAGGCAAAGUAAAAUUCGGAAUGGGACCUAAAAGUAAAAAGGGUAAAAAAAAGAAGACAAAAAAACAACGAGAAAUAUGGUGGUUUUUUACCAUUCCUAUUACCACUAUUAGGUGCUCUAGGCGCUUUAGGAGGAGGAGCUGCAGGGAUAGCGACUGCUGUAAAUAAAGCUUCGGUAGAUAAAAAAAUGUUGGAGGAAACUAUGCGGCAUAAUAAAGCAAUGGAAAUGAGUAGCGGUAAAGGUGUAGGAAAAACUAAAGGGAAAGGUCUUUACAUUGGUCCAUAUAAAUGGUAUCAGAAAAAAAACUCCCAGUAAAAUUACCACGUCACGCCCUCACUAAUAUUGAAAUAAUAAAGUUUGCUCGACUAUUACAAAUUCCAAAUUUUAGAGGUGUAUAUAUGCGUAAUAAAUUACCGAAAAUUAUACAUAAAAAUGAAACAGGAAUUAUAAAUUUAGAUGAAGAAAAAAAUAGUGGAACUCAUUGGACAGCAUAUGUAAAAAAUAAAAAUAAUAUAUUAUACUUUGAUAGUAUGGGCAAUUUAAAACCUCCAACAGAGAUUAUCAAUUAUUUCAAAAGUGAUAAUGAUGGUAAUAACAUUACAUACAAUUAUGAUGGAUAUCAGAAAAUGGGUUCAUAUAAUUGUGGACAAUUAUGUUUAAAGUUUUUAUAUAGACACACAUGCAAAUUAUAAGUUUAGUCGAAUCAAAGAUGCUGUUUGUAUUAACAGGAAAAUCAGCGAUACUAAGUGCUGACUUUAAUCCACCGAUUGAUGUUAGUGAUGGUGUCUAUGAACUGGGUGUUACAAAUUUUGAAGUCUACAACAGUAUACCGAAUAUUGAUGAAGAAAAUAAUAAAUUCUUUUUCGGGGAUGUCGAAUUUAAAAUACCGACCGGUUGUUAUCAAUUAACCGAUAUAAACAACUAUUUACAACAUGUAAUUGAAAAACAAUUCAGUAAUGACCUCUUAUCUAUUACUGCAAACAAUAAUACAUUACAUACACAUAUCAAAGCAACAAAAGAUGUUGACUUUACCAAACCAAAUACUAUCGGACCAGUGUUGGGAUUUAAUAGUCAAAUAGUUCCAAAAAAUAUUGGAAAAGAUUCGGAUAAUAUUGCAGACAUAAUGAAACUUAAUUCGAUUAUGAUUGAAUGUAAUAUUACAAUUGGAAGUUUUAAAAAUGGAGAACCUGUACACAUAAUUUAUCAAUUUUUUCCAAACGUUCCACCUGGAUUUAAAAUAGUACAGUCACCAGAUCAUGUGAUUUAUCUACCCAUUAGUGUUAAAACUAUCAGAAAUAUUACACUUAAAAUAAUAGAUCAAGAUGAAAAGUUGGUCAAUUUUCAACAAGAGACUGUAACAGUUGGAUUACAUUUGCAGAAGAAAGAAGAAAAUGGGUAUUAGUUUUAGAACUGACUCAUAUAAAAAGCAACAAAAGUGUAGAAAAACAGUUAGUACGAAACGAAACGUGCAACAAUUAAGUAAUAAAAAUAAAC
Long non-coding RNA from Tribolium castaneum (red flour beetle), 11567 nucleotides. RefSeq lists it as uncharacterized. The record is from RefSeq and is a predicted model, not a curated record. NCBI's taxonomy places the organism in Eukaryota, Metazoa, Arthropoda, Insecta, Coleoptera, Tenebrionidae. The transcript is spliced from 8 exons.